This 743-nucleotide ribosomal RNA is filed under the name uncultured bacterium. Its description in RNAcentral is "bacterial SSU rRNA". It matches the Rfam family "Bacterial small subunit ribosomal RNA", at positions 8 to 796 of the family's 1533-position model. The record is from RNAcentral.
AGAGUUUGAUCAUGGCUCAGGAUGAACGCUGGCGGCGUGGAUAAGGCAUGCAAGUCAAACGGCCCGCAAGGGCAGUGGCAAACGAGGUAGUAACACGUAGAUACUUCCCCCAAAGCUCGGAAUAACUCAUCGAAAGAUGAGCUAAUACCGAAUGGUCUCUUCGGAGUAAAGAUUUAUCACUUUGGGAAAGGUCUGCGGGAUAUCAGCUAGUUGGUGAGGUAAAGGCUCACCAAGGCUAUGACGUCUAGGGGCGCUGAGAGGCGGAUCCCCACCGAUGGAACUGAGAUACGGUCCAUACACCUACGGGUGGCCGCAGUCGAGAAUCUUCCGCAAUGGGCGAAAGCCUGACGGAGCGACGCCGCGUGAUCGAUGAAGUCCUUAGGGAUGUAAAGAUCUUUUGUCGGGGAGAAAGUAAUUGAUAGUACCCGAAGAAUAAGGGGUUGCUAAACUCGUGCCAGCAGCAGCGGUAAUACGAGUGCCCCAAGCGUUAUCCGGAAUCAUUGGGCGUAAAGGGUGUGUAGGUUGUUUCAUUAGUCUUCUGUCAAAUUCUUCGGCUCAACCGGGGGUCCGCAGAAGAAACGGUGAAACUAGAGGAUGUGAGAGGUGAAUGGAACUCAUGGUGUAGGGGUGAAAUCCGUUGAUAUCAUGGGGAACACCAAAAGCGAAGGCAAUUCACUGGCACAUUCCUGACACUGAAACACGAAAGCGUGGGUAGCGAAUGGGAUUAGAUACCCUAGUAGUCC